AUCCUCAUUAAACAUUACGAGGCUGCUAUCACAGCUACAGUUUGUUUAAUCCCGGUCUGAGCGGUUUACCGUGAUGUUUCUGUGUAAUUGGCUGGUUCAGACGGCUCAUUUACCGGACACGCAGUUUGGACCAUCUUUCAUCCUGCUGGGUUAGUUAUUGUGGAGGUGUCGGGAAGUCGAUACAAAUCAGAUCCUAGUCCCUGGAGCUUCAACUUGUCAGCAGUCGUCUGUGCUGUAACACGGAUCGUGUGCAGCACGGUGCAGUCCAAGUGUAAAUCAAAAAAA
This is a long non-coding RNA of Larimichthys crocea (large yellow croaker), 285 nucleotides long. RefSeq lists it as uncharacterized. NCBI's taxonomy places the organism in Eukaryota, Metazoa, Chordata, Actinopteri, Sciaenidae. The record is from RefSeq and is a predicted model, not a curated record. The transcript has 2 exons.